UAAUCUUCCGUACCUCCUCUAAAAACAACUGUGGAUCCUCAUCAGACUUGGACCCAUAGAAUUCUAGUGGAUUCAUCCGCAUGAAGUCAUGGAUCCUGGCAGCAGCUGAAUUACCUCCCUGCUACUGUGGAGCUGGGGCUGGGUUGGCCUGAACAUUUGCAGUAACAGCUUGGGCCAGCGCUUAAAAGGCUGCCCAAAAUUCAGCAUGAGACAUAUUUUCAUUCAAUGGGUCAGCAGGUUAAGGUUGCUGACCAUCAUUAUUUCUUCACGCUCGACGUGGAGGCAUAUUUCUGAAAGAGAAGAGCACGAAUCAAUAGCAGAGAGAGACACUUUAAGCACGAUAGACCUCUGAAAGAAAGAAUCACACUUUUUCCUAAAACUUCUUGUAGCCUAUUGCUCAUAGAUAUGGCGCGCUACACACCGAUGAACAAGACUCUACUUAACGCGGUUUGUCAGACCCACUAGGACACCUUAAAACCUUAGGCUCUGAUACCAAGUUUGUAACACCCCAAAAAUGGGUCUCGGAGCAUCACACGGUGCUUGAGGCUAUGAGUAGUCCCAAGCUAACCCUUGGACCCAUUUUUAUUUAGUUCAACACGAAUCAAUGGGGUUUUCAUAAAUAACCCUCAAAUAUCAACACAGUAAUCAUCAUCCAAGAAUAAAAGAAUUUCAGAAAGAUAAUAAAAUACGACUUAUUAGUCAACUCCCAACAUCUAUACUAGUUUGACAAGCCUCUAAGAAAAUUAAUAAAACCAGAGAGCCAUUAAGACAUGCCCCAACUAACUCAUACUCAGUUAUCAAAUGUAAACAAUUCUGUGGAACCAACAUCAGACAUCACGUCCUCAGAAUAUGAGGACUCACCACGAUAGAGGAUGUAGAACAGCGUGCCCAAAGAAUCACUGUCGAACCUAGAACUAAGCACCUAAACCUACAAAUCGAGGAAAUCCAGCCCACAUCUGAAGAUGUGGGUCAGUACCAUGGAAAGGAAUCGAGUAUAUGGGGGUGUAUGCAGUUUUAUAAACAUAAUCAUCAUAAAUAUUUAUAAAAAAUAAGCAGGAUGUAUGAAAGACUCACAUAGCCCGAAGAAAAUCAUCAUAAUCAUGAGAGGAUGAAAUAAGUACAAUAACACAUGUGAGUCAUCAUAUAAUUUGUCAAUCACUUUCAGUUCAUCAAGAAUAUCAAUUCUCAUAAUGUAAAUAUCAUUUAAAUCUUUCGAAAGAAUAACUUUCACAAUUCCACUUUCAAAUCACUUCACCAUUCACCAUAGACACAAGGAAACACACACACACUGAGAGAUCCUCUACAUGGAGUCCAACGUACAACCCACGUUAGGGAGAGCCGUCCUAUCCUUGCCAUCGGAGUAGGACUAUCAAUAUCAAAUCCACACAAACUAGUGAUCACUAUAUAAAUCAGCCUCAAGCUCACUCCUACGAGGGCAUGUAGUUCUAGGGAAGUAAGGUCGCUUUAUACCUCCCACUCGGUGCUAAAGAUUUCUCCCGAACUUAGCUCAGAUCAUUUCAAAGACAAUCAACAACAAAACAAUUUUAGUAAUAUAUAAAUAUACAUCGGGAGCCAUCAUACUUCCCAUCUAUCAAAAUCAACCACAUUGUAGAUUUCUAUCACACUCGAGUUCAAAACAACUCUAUUAAGAAUAAAAGGUCAAAUCAUUCAAAAUAUCUCAAAUAUUCAACAUCAAGGUGCUUAUAACAUAUACUUUCUCAAAAAGCACAAUUUCCAAUGGGGAUUCAUGACCCAAAUAUCAAAAUCAUGAUAAAUAAUGUUCAAGAUCCAUGUGUUAUAUCUCCACACAUGUAAAUUCAUCUUUCAAAAUCAUAAACAUCAAGAUUUCAUAAUAAUCAUCAUAAUAUAUGGGUUCGUGCUUCAAAUUCAUAAAAGUCAAAUAAAAAUCAUGCUUUUGUAAAAAAAAUUACUUUUGGGCACAAAAACGAAAGAGAGUUCUUGUUGAAAAACUCCACAUACCUUGAACGAUGAACUUUAGAUCGAUACUCAUUUUUGAGAUAUUAAUCGUGCCUUUGAAUGAUGGUUCUUGGAGUUCUUGAACUAGGAACUUAGAAUCUUGAAUAAAUUUGCAGAAUUAGUGGUAAACUUUGGAGGUUCUUGAAGUUGGAUGUAAGAGCUUAGAGUUUUCUUUUUGAGGGUAAUUUGAUGAAAUAUAACAUAUAAUGCUUCUAAUAGGCUUUAAUAUAGGGUUUGGACAGAUUUUGGGUGAGGGGGAAUGACCAAAACGCCCCUAAAAAUUAAAUAAUUCUCGAAUCUGUCCUUUAGUGGACUAUUUUGAUAGUCUGAAGUAGAUCAAUCAUAAUGUUUUACUUCAAUAUACAAAUUGGAUAAAACUAAUUUCAUUAGAAAGAGGACUCUCAUAUCUUUCCAUUGAUAUAUAGUAUCUCACCCAUAUCAUUAUGUACGAGGAGUUAUGAUCGUUUGAAGUUGACCAAAAAAUUUGCUUUUGAUAGACUGAAGUAGAUCGACCAUAACUUUUUACUCCGAUGGACAAAUUAGAUGAAACCAAUUUCAUUGGAAAGAGGACUCACAGAUAUUUCCGUUCAUAUAUAGUAGAUCACCCAGAUCAUUAUGUACAAGGAGUUAUGAUCAUUUAAAGUUGGAGCAAAAGUAUGCCAAGUCUCAGUACUUUUUCCUGCACAUUUUACUGUUCACUACUAUUCACGGUUCGAUCGGAAUAUUCAUAACUCGUCCUGCACAUUUUACUGUUCACUACUAUUCAUGGUUCGAUCGGAAUAUUCAUAACUCGUCGCUCGGGUGUCCAUUUUGGAUGAUCCAGAUAUCAUUGGAAAGCUUAUUCAAUACUCUACGCAAUGGUGGGUCAUAUCUAAGACAUUCCGCAUGAAAAAUUUAUAAUUCAUUCUAGAAGAUAGAACCCAACACGUUUACACACAAAAUUUCAAAAAAAAAAAUUCUCGGGGUAUUACAAUGAGUCAGCUAGUCGACUCACAUUCUACCUAUAUUGAGAAACUAGAACAACAAAUGAACUAGUUAUCUACAGUAUUCAACUAGAGAAAAAGCUGAACAUUAUCGAGUGAUACAAUGCAAAAUCCUUGAAAUGAUGGCUCUUGCAUGGCGAUUACCACUUGAAGUGGUAAAGUAUUAUCGGGCCCUUUUGUUGGAAAAUCUUUGAUUGAUGAUGGGAUGGAGUUAGAUGCAGAAGUAGAAGAAAACCAUCCAGUAGAGACUAAGAAGCUGGAUAAUGAUAAGAUUUUAUCUAAACAUCAGCAGGUUGAUGAGUUAGAUAAAGAUAAGGUAAAGGAUGGAUGACACAAAAUUUAGCAAGUUCCUGGCAAUGCUAAAAUAGUUGAUGGUGAAUGUGUCUUUAGUGGAGGCAUUGGAACAAAUGUCUGGCUAUGCUAAGUUCAUGAAGGAUCUUGUGACAAAGAAAAGAAUAGUAAGGUACGAACCAGCGGACAAACUUCACCAUUGUAGAGCUAUUUCUACAAGAUCCUUGGUGCAGAAGAAAAUGGACCCAGGAGCUUUCACUAUCCCUUGUACUAUUGGAUUACUUAAUUUUUCUAAGGCCUUGUGUGACCUUUGGGAAAGUAUUAAUCUGAUGCCACUGGCAGUUUACAAGAAGUUGGGUUUGGGAGAUACUACACCCACCAAUAUGCAACUUGUAAUGCCAAACAGAUUAGUGAAGCGGCUAGUCGAAAUAUUAUAUAAUGUGCUUUCAAAAGUGGCUAGUUUUAUUUUCCCUAUUGAUUUUUUCAUCUUGGAUUGUGAGGUGGACAUUGAGGUACCCAUAAUCUUGGGUAGACCUUUCCUUGCAAUCGGGAGUGAGUUGAUUGACUUGCAAACUAAUAAGCUGAAGUUUAGGCUCAAUGAGAAGGUGGUCAUUUUUUAUGUUUGAAAGUCAAUAAAGUAGCAAAAGGAGAUAAGUGUAUUCUUGAUCAUUGAUAUAUAUUAUGAGAUAAACAUGAGGUACCGAUUGAGGAUAAAUAUGGCAUGGAAACAUUGGUUGCUAUGUUGAUAAAAUUUGCUAGUGAGGGUAUCGAAGAAUAUGAAAAGAUGGUGUGUGCAUUAACUGGGAUAGGAUCAUAUUCAUAUGCUCCCAAGAAGCUAGACUUGGACCUUAAAAUUUGCCUAACACCACCGGCUAAGCCAUCUAUUAAAGAGCCACCGACGUUGGAACUUAAUGAGUUGCCAGGCCAUCUGCGCUAUGCAUUCUUAGUAGUGAUAACACUUUGCCGGACAUUAUUGCAGCAGAUUUGGUAAAGCUGCAGGUUAAGGCCCUUAUUUUUGUUCGUAGGAGGUACAAAAAGCUAUCGGAUGGAUGAUUGCAGAUAUUAUUAGUAUCCCUCCAAGCAUAUGUACCCAUAAGAUCUAGCUAGAAGAUGAUUGCAGAUCGACCUUUGAGCAUCAAUGUAGACUAAACCUACCUAUGCAAGAAGUGGUGAAAAAAGAGAUUGUAAAGUAGCUUGAUCCAGGGGUAGUGUACCCGAUCUCUAACAGUAAGUGGGUAAGUCCAGUACAGUACGUGCCCAAGAAAGGAGGUGGACUGUGGGUGAUAAUAAGAAGAAUGAGAUAAUUCUGCUUAGGCCAAUAAAUAGGUGGUGAGUUUGCAUAGACUACUGAAAUUUGAAUUCAUGGAUGUUAAAAUAUCAUUUUUCAAUGCCCUUCAUGGAUCAAAUGCUUGAUCGCUUAGAAUGAAGGGGUUGGUAUUGCUUUUUGGAUAGAUAUUCGGGAUACAACCAGAAUAGGGUCCACUUGCUAAAUAAGACAUCUUGUGGUUUGGGUCCACUUGCCAUGCAAGAUAAGAUAGCUCGUGAUUAGGUUCCACUUGUUAUACAAGAUACAACGGCUUAUGGUUUGGGUCCACUUUCCAUAUAAGACAUAACGGCUUGAGGUUAGGGUCCUCUUUCUAUAAUAGAUGAGACAGCUAGAGGUUAGGUUCCUUUUGCUUAAUAUAACCUAAAGGUUCAAACGUUCUUAACUAGAAGGGUGGAAGGUUGGAGUCCUUCACUACAUCUUUCAUGAUUGAGUGUUUUCAAAAAGGCAUGCUAAGCCUUGUUUUUUCCUUUUUGGCACGUUAUGAAUCUAUAUAUGUGUACGUAUAUAAAUAUGGUUGCAUAUGAUGGUUUGACUUGGUAUUAAAUAAUGGUACUAGUUUAUCCUUAUCCUUGAGUUACAUGUUAGUGCUCCAACUGUUAACCAUCUCCGAACGUUAUGUGCCCACGUGACAUAGGGGCCAAAGCUUCUUCUUCUCUUCUUGCGUAGUGACAGGUGUUCGAGUGGUUCAUGUGUUGACAUUGAAGUGGUGAACUUCCAUAUUUCAGAAGACAUACAUUUUAUAGUCUUUCAAUCUUAUGCUAUAGAUUUGUUUUAGACUUGGCUUAUGGUUAUUAUCAGGGGCAUGUCCCGAAAUAUUAUAGACAUCGGAUUUGUAGAGGCUUUGUGUAUGAUUGUGGACUUGGGUAUAUUGGUUAGUAUAUUGAUGUAAAUGAAUUGAUUAGACAUCUCUUAAGUCAUAAUCAUUAGUCUUUUUUCCGCUACCUUAUUAUAUGUUCGGAGUUCAUCCGGCACUUGCCGUUUGAUAUGAUGGUUAGGUUGGGUUAAUGGGCAAUCUUCGAUCCUUGUUGGGCUUGAAAUGCCCAUUUGACAAGGCCCAAUUUUGGGUCGUGUCACCUACCUAGAUUAUUGCUACUUACUCCAAAAGAGGAGUAGUGACUAGGAAAAGAUAAUUACAACAGCGAUUUGAAUAUUAAUCGUCGAUCCAUGCUAAUAGGUAUUAUCUAAGUAAAAUCAUUAACUAACAUCUAAUAACUAGAGACCCAAAAGGUAAUAUUUAAUUGGGAUCAAGGAUAAGUGUUGGUAAGGUGACAUCUUGAGACUCAAAAGGUAAAGGGUGGAAUCCAUUAACUAGUCCAAAAGACAGUUGAUAGUACAUAACUUAUCAGAUUCUGCAUGCAAGAUAUCGGGUUGGUUCAAUAAAAGCACAAUAAGCCUAUUGAAUUGAGAAGUUAGGGAAAACAAAAUCCUACUGUUCAUCUACAACUUAUUACAACCAGAGUUGAUAUUUGUUAUUUGUUCGAUAUUACCACUAUAAUCCCCUAUUUACUUUUUCAGUUCUGCCCGUUGAUUACAAUAGUUAAGAGCCACAAUUCCAUGUAUUUCCUUGGGAUUCAACCCCAACCGUUGUUGGGCUACUAUAUUUGACAAAGAAUGCAUUAUCUUCAGAUUGAAGGUGUACCUUGGGCAUUAUUAGGGACAAUGCUAGAGAUGAGGAGAUAGAGGUCCAACAUUUUGUUAGAAAUGGAGAAUGGGAUAAAGAGUUGCUAUUAUCUCAACUGUCAGAAAAAAUGGUUGAUCUUAUCAUUAGAAAUAUUAAGGCUCUUAGGAAUGGUAACUCUAAUGAUCUCCCUUAGUGGAUGGGUGGUACUCAUGGCAUGUUCUUAGUUAAAACAACCUAGAAUCACAAGUAAGAGACAAGGAGAGAUUAUGAUUUCAUCUAGGCCAAAGGUUUGCCUUUUAAGGUGAAUUUUUUUUAUAUGGAGGUUGUAGAAAAGGAGAAUUGCAACUGAUGAUAACUUUAAAAGAAUGAGAAUAUAGUUGGUAUCAAGGUGUUGGUGUUGUGAGGAGAAUGUCAAGGAAAUAAUGUCUUAUCUAUUUCUAACAUCCCCUGUAGCCAUGAGGCUAUGAAGGCAGUUUGCUUAUUUUGCAAGUAUUCAAGUGGAGAACAUGCAACUUCAAUAGCUUAUAAUAGUUUGGUGGAAGUAAGCACCAACAAAAUUAAAGGUGUUAUAUAGAGCAAUACCAACUAUAAUAAUUUGGACUCUAUAGAAGAGAAGAAAUUAUAUUAAACAUGGAGGAACUGUACAGUUCACUGGAAUGGUCAUACAGAUAUAUGAUGUGGUGAAAAAGGUUAUCAAAAUACUAUAUCCCUGGAUAAAGAGUGAGCAUGGACAUGGCUAGAAGUUAUUGCCAAGAUAAAAGCCCACAAGCCCAAGUUGCACUAUCACAGUGGAAUUUGGAGGAAGCCAGAGAACCAGCAGGUGAAGUGAAACACUGAUGGAGCUUGCAGAGGAAAUCCUGGGAUAAGUUCCUGUGGUUUCUGCCUAAGGGAUAACAAAGUAGAUCUAAUAUAUGCAAGAGCAAAGGGAUUGGGAGCAGGCACUAACACAGAAGCUAAAUAAUUAGCAAUAAAAGAAGCCUUAGAGUACUGUUAUGAAAAGAACAUAAUUGACUUUAUUCUUGAAAUAGACUCCUUUGGCCUCAGAAAAAUGAUUCUACAACAGUGGAAAGUGCCUUAGGAAUUAGCAGAGCUAUUUGAUAAGGUUAGGAAGAAUGGACAGAAGAUGAAUGUUAUAGUCAUGCACAUAUUCUAGGAAGGAAACACUGUGGAAGAUUCCUUAGCCAAUGAGCUGAUUGAAUCAAAAAUGACAUAGGAAUUCCAUAAUUUUCAUGAACUUCCAACACAUACAAAAAUACUGAUUAACAUAGAUAAAGCAUAGAUCCCAAACACCAGGGUGAAAAGACAAAGAUAAUACCACAAUGAGAAACAAAAGAAGAAUCACAAAUACAAGAAAAUAGGAAAUUCAUUCAAGUUGUAAGAGCAUGGAUGUACCAAUAAUAUUUACAAAGCUACAGUUAUCCAAAAACACUAGCACGCCAUAAUUAAUGAAAGAGCAUGCCUAGAAGAAGACAUUACAACAGUGCCAAUAAAAGUUAGGACUAAAAGUUUUAGCUAUCAAAAACCUGCACCAAAAAUAGAGGUUUUUGGGGCGUUGCACUACCAUGGAUCACCAGUUGUAGAUGCAGAAGAAUCGAGACUGCCACAAUCUCAAUCCCACCUGAAAUGUGGAUAAAUAGGUCAGAAAUGGAGUAAAUGAAAAAGGAAAAGAAAAGACAAGAGAGAAAACAUAUUGGUAUCUCAUGAUCUGGUGGAAAUGGUAUUCCUUCUAUGGUUCCUUGGGGUUAAAACCCAACCACCUACGAGAUCAAAAGUUAGGUUAAUAAAUGAAAAGAAAAGAGAGAAGAAGGAAAAAGAGAGAAGCUCACUAUGAAAUAGUGAAGAGGGUAGACAGAGCUCAACAAUCACCAUUGUAGGCUCAUGCUUGAACACGACCAAAAGGAGGAAGAACUUCAGCUUGCAAGUUCCACCGGCAACACUUCGACAGCAUGGUUCAACUCACAAGGCAGCAGCAAGUAGAAAGAAAGAGUACUUUGUACUUGAAGAAUAAAGGCAGAUAUUUAUACUACUUUAGGAAACGUUUUAUUUUCCUCUUUAUUUUGGAUCGAGUUCUAUUUUG
RNAcentral lists this long non-coding RNA (8276 nucleotides) under Capsicum annuum. RNAcentral describes it as "long non-coding RNA (CANN_LNC012655)". Lineage: Eukaryota; Viridiplantae; Streptophyta; Magnoliopsida; Solanales; Solanaceae. The record is from RNAcentral.